Molecule: long non-coding RNA, 4129 nt
Filed under: Medicago truncatula (barrel medic)
Lineage: Eukaryota; Viridiplantae; Streptophyta; Magnoliopsida; Fabales; Fabaceae
Description: long non-coding RNA (MTRU_LNC005060)
Rfam family: MIR2619 microRNA precursor family (bases 1692-1860)
Source: RNAcentral
UCCACUUUCGUUUUAUGAAUUGAUAUUUGAGAUGAUGGAUAAACAAUUAUCAAACCCUCCACUUUCGUUUCCACAGUUUGAUAAUGGUUGAUCCAUGUUAAAGCGGUGAAUUUAGAUAAUAAAUUAGGGUUACAUAAGAUUAAGGCUUAGAGCUUGGCUUGAUUAGGAUUAUGUCAUUUAGACUUAUCCAACAAUCCCAAGACAAAGAGAAGUCUACUCACUCAUGUUCAUCGUAGACAUGGGGAAGAAGAGUGAAAGAAUAAAAGUAAAUGACAAGAAAAUAAAGGAAAAGAAAAGAACUUUUAUUAGAAAAGCAAUUGUCACUUAUUGAAUUCCAAGAAAAGAUGAAUAUUUUUUAUGGAUAGCUACUCUAUUUAUAGCAUACAUUCGACUUAAAAUCUAAGCAAUUACAUUACUGGAAUGUUCCACAAGAAACUGCGGGCUAAAAUAGAGUAGCUUAAAAUCUAAGCAAAAGUAGCAAAAGUUACUCUGGAGGGUGGCACGGCCGUGCCAAUGCUAGCACGGGCCGUGCCAAUGCUAGCACGGGCCGUGCCAAGCUCCAAGUCCCUUUCUUUUGCUCCAAGACUCAAUCCAUCCAAUAUUCGUUCCUGAAAUAUAAUAAAGUGCAAUUUGUAGUAAACUAACUCAAAAAGGGAAUAAUACUAAUAUAAAAUAAAAUAAAAUCCAUUUAAAAUUAAACUAAAUAACAUAUAAAAAUAAAUAUUAAAUGACUCAUCAGAGAUAUGAUUGGUUGGCACCUAAUUCGCAGCUCCUAUCCUGUGGAGAACGGCAUACUUCACACUUAACUUGUUUGAGGCCAAGUUACAUUUGAUAGGCCAUUUUUUGACUUGAUUUGCUGUAAUUUCCUGGCAAAUAUCAUUAUCAGUGAUUUCCACUUCAGCAUGUUCUUCCUCACUGCUGCCUAAAACUCUAUUAAUUAUCUCAGGGGAGAAUUCUACACACUUUCCUCAGACAAAUACUUUCCUGUACUCAGUGCUUAGGGUAUUGUCACAAUCCUUAGGAAUGUUGACUAUGAAUUCUUUCACCAGCAAUUCAUAACAAUUGCCAAAGCCACAUACACUUUUAUUAAUCCAGCUUUAUCAACGAGUUUCAUGAUUUGCUCGCACUCUAGCGCAUCCUUUCCCAAUUCUCUUUCCAAUUCCAAUCUCCUUUGACAUAUGUACUUCCAUUUUAGAGCGUUGGCCCCAUGAUGGAAGGAUGUAUUAUCUGUAGGUGUCUCAUUAACAUUUGCUGGAAUCUUCUUCCCAGACGUUCUCCUUUUACCUAAAGGCAUGAUGUCCUGAACAUCUUGUUCAACAUCAUACUCAGAAUUUGAGGAUGAUACUUCCUUUCUUUACAGAGACCUUUUCUUUUUAUUAGAAGAGAUGACCUUACUGCAGCUUUUAGCAGGUCCCACAGUCACCUUCCUUUUAGCAUCCUUAGUGGGUUGACUUUCAACCAUGGUAGACUUUCCUUUCCUCUUUCAGUCUUCUGGCAACAGUCAUUUCAGCCAGAGGUAUUUCAUCUUCUUCACUUAUUCGCCAAUCAAAUAUUCACCAAUUGUAACACCCUAUUUUAUUAUUUAUUUAUUUUAUUGAGUUUAGAUGUCUUUUUAUAAUGGCUUAAUUGCACUUUUAGACCCCUAUCUUUCCAAAAGUUGCGGUUAUGGACCCCUAACUAAUUUAAAUACAAAACAGCCCCCUAUGUUUUGAUUCUUUGGUAGUUUUGGACCUCCAAGGCAAAAAAAAUAAAAAAUUUGACACGUGGCACCUCACUUAGGGUGCCACGUCAGCGUUGACCGAGUCAACAAUGGACCGGGGGUCCAAAACUGCCAAAGAAUCAAAACAUAGGGGGCUGUUUUGUAUUUAAAUUAGUUAGGGAUCCAUAACCGCAACUUUUGGAAAGAUAGGAGUCCAAAAGUGCAAUUAAGCCUUUUAUAAUUUAGUCGAUUUGUUUUGAUGAGUGAUAUUUUAUUAUGUUAUAUGUUGGUAUUUAUUAGUAUAUAUAUAUAUAUAUAUAUAUAUAUAUAUAUAUAUAUAUUAUUUGGUGUAGAAAUAUAUGUUAUUUUGUGUAGAAAUAUUAUGUUAUUUGGUGUAGAAAUAUAUGUUAUUUUGUGUAGAAAUAUAUGUUAUCUGGUGUAGAAAUAUAUUUCUUAUUUGGUGUAGAAAUAUAUAUAUGUUAUAGAAAUAUAUUUGUUAUAGAGAUAUAUUUGUUAUUCGUUACAGAAAUAUUAUAUAUAUAUAUAUAUAUAUAUAUAUAUAUAUAUAUAUAUAUAUUAGAAUAGAAUAUUGAGACUUAGAUGACAGAUUUGUAAAUAAGAGAAAAUAAGUAGGUUAAUGAUUUAUAUAAAAAGGGAGAAAACAAGAGAAGAACCAAGAGAAGAGAUAAGUGAGAGGAGAGAAGAAUCUUGUGAGAAGAAGAUCAAUCUUGUAGAGUCCGACCAUCUAAUUUAAGGUAAGAGUGGGAUUAACUUUCUCUAAUUCUAAGUGGUAUAAUUUUUUACAAGUAGUGGGAGGUAGUUUUGAGGAGUUGAGAACUAGGUUAAAAUUGGAGAAUUGAUUAAUUGAGAAGACUAAACGGUUAAAUUGAUGUAGAAAUAGUAUCCUGACCUUAGACUAUUCGUAGAACAAAGUUUAGAAUUAGUUUUAAGGUUCUUGUAAUUUAAAUGCCACACGAUUUUGGAUUUCAUGUGCAUAUGGUAUAAGUUUUCUGUUUACAGCGUCCUUUUCUUCAAUUAUACCUAUAGAAAUAUAUAUUAGAACAUAAUCCCAUGAUUCAUAUGUAUAUGUAUGUUUAUUGAUUUCAAAAUUAUUGAUUCCGAUGUUUUCAAAAUUUAGGAACACUAAUAUGUGAGUUUCCUUAAUUUCUAAGAAUGAAUUGAUUGAAAAGUACUUGAGUAAUUAUACUACAUCAUGAUGCUGUCCAAAAUAAGCUAUAAAUGAGGCAACUUGAAUUCUAUAGAUGAAUUUACGUGUGCUACCAUGUGACUUCUUUCAAAUCGUGAGAUAGCAAGAUCCAACAAUUUUGUUAACAAUUUAAGGCUAUGUGUAAUCGUUACUCGAGUUCUGUUCCGAACUAAUCCUAUUGAUGCCACAUUACUUCUUACUAUUGGAUAUGCAUAAUUUGUUGCUCUUUCUUUAUUUAAAUCUUUGAUUCAAUACUACUUGGUAGAUUUAAAAUUGUGUAAUUGAUGUGUUAUUUAAUGAUGUGUAAAUAAUAAAAUAUUUGAUGAUUUGUAAGUUGUCGUCAAUGUCGUUAAAGUUGUCAAGUUGUAAGAUGUUGAUUCAAAUUAUUUGAGUCAUAUAAGAUAUCUAAGUUGUUUAAGUUGUAAGACGUUGAGUCCAUGCAUACUCAUUUAAGUUGAGGGCUUGAUGCCCUAUAAGUUGAGGGCUUGAUGCCCUGUGAGCCUAUUUACGCUCAAUACGUUGGGGCUUGAUGCCCUAGUUGGUACCACAUGCAUGAUUAAAAGGUUGUAGUUGCAUUUUGUUGAGAUGGUUCAAGAUGUGUAAGAUGUCUAAGUUGCAUUGUCGAGUUGAAGUUGUGUCGUUGUUGUUAAGUUGUUAUUUACCCAUGUGUCGUUAAUGAAGUGAUUAUGAUGUUCAUUAUGAUGUUGUUAUGUUGUUUAUGAUGUGAAGUAUAUGAUGUUAUAAACUGAUGUUUAUGAUGUAAUGUUUAUGUUGUUUAUGUUGCUAUAUGACGUUGUGUAUAAUGUGAUGAUGAAUAUGAAGUUAAUGAUGAUUAGAAGUUGAUUAAGUUAUUAAUGAAGUAUUAUAAGAAGAGUAAUGUUAUUAAUUGAUGAAGUAUAAGUUGUUAAAUGCUUUUGAUGAAUUAUAUGCUUAUUAUUAUUGAAUGUGAAAUCUCACCCCUUCUGCUUGGAAAUGUUGCUCUUCAUAUGAAUAACUUGCAGGUGAUCGAGUUUAAGCUGCUGUUAGAUUGCUGUCGUGAGUGUACUAUCUCUCACGUGUGUCUUUAGGUGCUCUGAUACGUAACGGGAUGUGAACUUUGUUGCAUGCUUUUCUAUUCCUUAUGUAUUACUUUAUGAAGUUUAUGACUAAGUUUUUUGACUGGAUUUCUAUGAGAUAUUUAUGAUGAGGCCUUCGUGUCAAAGACUACUGUUUUUAGAUGUUGA